GAAAUUUAAAUAUCAUAAAGAAAUAUUUCAUUGAAAAUAAGAAUUUAAACAAGCUCCAAAAUAAUAAAAUAGUAAGAACUACAAUUGCCCUGAUACAUUGCUAGGGCUUCAUCCAGCCCUAGACUAGACGUUUAGCCGAGCAUGGCUUCCGGACGACCUCCCAUCUUCAAAUGAAAUUGAUCACCGCCCAUUAUUCCCAAACUAUCACAAACUCUUCUCUUUCCUCCCCUCUCUCUUCUUUUUUUAUUUCUUUCUCUCGGCUUUCUUCUUCUUCUUCUUCACCGAAACAGAGCCUCUCCCCUGUUUCUUUCUUCUCAACCGAGCUCUCCCUCUGCCA
Molecule: long non-coding RNA, 337 nt
Filed under: Phoenix dactylifera (date palm)
Lineage: Eukaryota; Viridiplantae; Streptophyta; Magnoliopsida; Arecales; Arecaceae
Description: long non-coding RNA (PDAC_LNC009491)
Source: RNAcentral